Long non-coding RNA from Prunus persica (peach), 685 nucleotides. RefSeq lists it as uncharacterized. The transcript is spliced from 2 exons. NCBI's taxonomy places the organism in Eukaryota, Viridiplantae, Streptophyta, Magnoliopsida, Rosales, Rosaceae. The record is from RefSeq and is a predicted model, not a curated record.
UGGGACCACCCUCCUCCCUUCCUUUACAUCUUUCAAUUUUGUUUUUUAUUAUUAAGUUUUUUCAGCUUUUCAAUAUUCCAUCUAAUUCUUAAUAAAAUGAUAAUUCUACCUUCUGCCUCUAUUUAUACCCUCCUCUCAUCUUCUUUCUUUUCCAUCAAACCCUAGCUCACUACCUAGCAAAUUAAAGGCCCCCCUUCUCUCUCUCUCCCCCCCUCUCUCUCCCUCUCUCUCAAAAUCUCUAGUCUUGCUCAAAGGAUGGAUCACGAGUACUGUACAUAUUUUCUUAUCAUGCAUUUGUAGCAGUUGAAGCUGCCAGCAUGAUCUUAACCUCCCUAUUUUGGUUAGGGAAGAUCAGAUCAUGUGGCAGUUUCACCUGUUAUUGGUAGCAUGAGAUCAAACCCUAAUUCCCACAUAAACCUUUGCAAUCCCUAGAUAAAAGCUGCUCGGAAAUGUCAGCUGUUUUGGGGUUGUUAGGGUUUUGAAUGACAGAAACUGUGUGUUUCCACGCAGUUCGAUGAUUUCAAGAUCCUCAACUGGCACUUUGGUCAUUGAGCCACGGCUACCGAGCAAACCUGCCGUACUCUUUUUGAUUAUUAGUCAUACGGCCUGCAUCAAGAUUUCAUAUGUAUGUAUGCAUAUACAUUCAUGAUAUUACCAUGAAUUUAAGAUUUUCCAUUCAAUCCCA